ACCUCCUGCCUCUCCUGGGGUCUCUGGAGGCAGAGUCACCAUGUGUGAAGAGGUUCCUGGCUCGGGCACCUGAGCCAGUCCCUGGCCAGGAGGUAAUUCAUUUCUCUGACUUACUGGGCAAGAUUCUUAACUUCGCUGAACCUGGUGUCUCUCAUCUAUCAAAUGGUCCCGUUAAUAAGUACCUUGCUGGCAAAAUGAGCCCAUAGCAGAACCUAGCAAAAUCAGUGCUCCCUGAGUGGCCGCGGUGAUGGUGAUGACGAUGACGAUAACUGCAUAGCUGAGACCUGACCCUCAGCUUCCUCCUUUGUAAAAUGACUCUACUACCCCACAGACUGUUGUGAGCAUCAUGUAGAGCCAAAAACCAGCUCAAAAGUGGAUCUUGGUUGCGGCACAAGAGUCCUUUGCUGCUUCUCUAGUUGUGGCAUGCAGGCUUCAUCGCACCACGGCAUGUGGCUCUUAGUUCCCCGACCAGGGACUGAACCUAUAUCCCCUAUCCUGGAAGAUAGAUUCUUAACCAUUGGACCACCAGAGAAGUUCCUCUUGAUGCUACUUCUUGCUACUGAAAUGACUUUGGGAGUAUUACUUUCGGCCCCUGAGCCUCAGUUCCUUCACCUGUAAGAGAUGAUCAUGUGUAUCUCGCAUGAAGUGUUGUCCUGAGGGUUAAUGAGAUAAUACGUAUGAGGAGUCAAGUCCAGCACCUGGCUGAUGGCAAGCACCUAGUGUGUGGUAACCAAAAUCCCAGUUUGCAUGUACUUCCCCACUGGAGAGCAGCAGAGAAAUUCCUUGGAGAGUCCCAGAGUAUUUGUUCAGACUGUAAAGGACACUUGCUUGGAUUUUAUAAGAUUAAUUAAAAAAACAAUGGAAACAGUUGA
This is a long non-coding RNA of Bubalus bubalis (water buffalo), 872 nucleotides long. RefSeq lists it as uncharacterized. The transcript is spliced from 2 exons. Lineage: Eukaryota; Metazoa; Chordata; Mammalia; Artiodactyla; Bovidae. The record is from RefSeq and is a predicted model, not a curated record.